UCCAAGGCUUAUGUCAUUUCAUUUGGCUUAUAGUUAUAUAUAGUUUACAAAACCUUGAGUUACUAGCAGAUAGAUGAAGAGGGGCCACCAUAACCAUAACCAUUACUGAUGCGUUUUGCGAAGUGUGAAUUGAAGACAAAGUGCAGGGUUUGGGCAGCUGGGAAGGCAGAAAGCUAUGGAAGGUAGUAGUUCAAAUAGUUUGGCCACAGGAAGAAAGACAUCAGAGUUGGAAGCAUUGCAGAAAGAGCAUGAAGAGAAAAACAUGAAAAUCCAAGAACUGAAGAGACAAAUUGAAAUGACAAAGAGUCGAUUGGAAAAGAAGAGGAGGGAGCUAACAGAGGAGAAAAUGGGAAGUUUCAAUGCAUUAAGCAAGAAAUAUAAUACUCUCAGAGAUGAGUACAAUGCAAUUUUAGCUCAGAAAUCAUCAAAGGAAUCAAAUUAACUAUA
Molecule: long non-coding RNA, 447 nt
Organism: Arachis duranensis
Lineage: Eukaryota; Viridiplantae; Streptophyta; Magnoliopsida; Fabales; Fabaceae
Exons: 3
Source: RefSeq, a predicted model, not a curated record